UUAUGAGUUUGAUCCUGGCUCAGGACGAACGCUGGCGGCGUGCCUAAUACAUGCAAGUCGAACGAACGGAGGAAGAGCUUGCUCUUCCAAAGUUAGUGGCGGACGGGUGAGUAACACGUGGGCAACCUGCCUGUAAGUUGGGGAUAACUCCGGGAAACCGGGGCUAAUACCGAAUGAUAGAGUGUGGCGCAUGCCACGCUUUUGAAAGAUGGUUUCGGCUAUCGCUUACAGAUGGGCCCGCGGUGCAUUAGCUAGUUGGUAGGGUAAUGGCCUACCAAGGCAACGAUGCAUAGCCGACCUGAGAGGGUGAUCGGCCACACUGGGACUGAGACACGGCCCAGACUCCUACGGGAGGCAGCAGUAGGGAAUCUUCCGCAAUGGACGAAAGUCUGACGGAGCAACGCCGCGAUGUAUGAAGAAGGUUUUCGGAUCGUAAAGUACUGUUGUUAGAGAAGAACAAGGAUAAGAGUAACUGCUUGUCCCUUGACGGUAUCUAACCAAAAAGCCACGGCUAACUACGUGCCAGCAGCCGCGGUAAUACGUAGGUGGCAAGCGUUGCUCGGGGGUUGGUGGGGGGUCCCCCGCCCCGCAGGCGGUCUUUUAAGUCUGAUGUGAAAGCCCCCGGCUUAACCGGGGAGGGUCAUUGGAAACUGGAAGACUGGAGUGCAGAAGAGGAGAGUGGAAUUCCACGUGUAGCGGUGAAAUGCGUAGAUAUGUGGAGGAACACCAGUGGCGAAGGCGACUCUCUGGUCUGUAACUGACGCUGAGGCGCGAAAGCGUGGGGAGCAAACAGGAUUAGAUACCCUGGUAGUCCACGCCGUAAACGAUGAGUGCUAAGUGUUAGGGGUUUCCGCCCCUUAGUGCUGCAGCUAACGCAUUAAGCACUCCGCCUGGGGAGUACGACCGCUAUGUUUUAUUACUUCAUUUGGAAUUGACGGGGGCCCGCACAACCCGGCCGCCACCCAUGCUCGAUUAUUCGAAGCAACGCAAAACCUUACCAGGUCUUGACAUCCUUUGACCACUCUGGAAACAGAGCUUUCCCUUCGGGGACAAAGUGACAGGUGGUGCAUGGUUGUCGUCAGCUCGUGUCGUGAGAUGUUGGGUUAAGUCCCGCAACGAGCGCAACCCUUGAUUUUAGUUGCCAGCAUUUAGUUGGGCACUCUAAAGUGACUGCCGGUGCAAGCCGGAGGAAGGUGGGGAUGACGUCAAAUCAUCAUGCCCCUUAUGACCUGGGCUACACACGUGCUACAAUGGAUAGUACAAAGGGUCGCGAAGCCGCGAGGUGGAGCUAAUCCCAUAAAACUAUUCUCAGUUCGGAUUGUAGGCUGCAACUCGCCUACAUGAAGCCGGAAUCGCUAGUAAUCGUGGAUCAGCAUGCCACGGUGAAUACGUUCCCGGGCCUUGUACACACCGCCCGUCACACCACGAGAGUUUGUAACACCCGAAGUCGGUAGGGUAACCUUUAUGGAGCCAGCCGCCGAAAGGUGGGACAGAUAAUUGGGGGUGAAGUCGUAACAAGGGUAGCCGUAGGG
RNAcentral lists this ribosomal RNA (1532 nucleotides) under Listeria sp. Its description in RNAcentral is "bacterial SSU rRNA". It matches the Rfam family "Bacterial small subunit ribosomal RNA". The record is from RNAcentral. Lineage: Bacteria; Bacillati; Bacillota; Bacilli; Caryophanales; Listeriaceae.